This 240-nucleotide unclassified non-coding RNA is filed under the name soil metagenome. RNAcentral's name for it is "partial contains 5.8S ribosomal RNA, internal transcribed spacer 2, and large subunit ribosomal RNA". The record is from RNAcentral.
AAGACUAUAGACCUGCGGAGUACCUGCGGAAGGAUCAUUACUGAGUGAGGGCCCUCUGGGUCCAACCUCCCACCCGUGUUUAUCGUACCUUGUUGCUUCGGCGAGCCCGCCUCACGGCCGCCGGGGGGCAUCUGCCCCCGGGCCCGCGCUCGCCGAAGACACCAUUGAACGCUGUCUGAAGAUUGCAGUCUGAGCAGAUUAGCUAAAUCAGUUAAAACUUUCAACAAUGGAUCUCUAGAU